UACAGAGGCCCCAAGCGUUACCCGGAAUCACUGGGCGUAAAGGGUGUGUAGGCGGCUGUGUUAGUCUUCAGUGAAAUCCUCCGGCUUAACCGGGGGGAUGUCUGGGGAAACGGCACAGCUUUGAGAGUGUCAGAGGUAUGCGGAACUCACGGUGUAGGGGUAAAAUCCGUUGAUAUCGUGGGGAACACCAUAGGCGAAGGCGGCAUACUGGGACAUUUCUGACGCUGAGGCACGAAAGCGUGGGUAGCGAAUGGG
Molecule: ribosomal RNA, 255 nt
Filed under: uncultured bacterium
Lineage: Bacteria
Description: partial 16S ribosomal RNA
Rfam family: Bacterial small subunit ribosomal RNA
Source: RNAcentral